Molecule: non-coding RNA, 852 nt
Organism: Lolium perenne
Lineage: Eukaryota; Viridiplantae; Streptophyta; Magnoliopsida; Poales; Poaceae
Source: RefSeq, a predicted model, not a curated record
AGGAAAUGGUGCUUGCAAUCCUGAACGAAUCGGACCUGCCACUUAUGAUCAAACUGUGGAAAUCAUGUUCGUUCCCCAGAAAGUCCCAAGGAGGCUCUUCACCUGACCCAUGUCAGUGCAAUAUUGGACAAGAGUUAUGGCCUAAGGUGGUCAUCUUGCUGGACAUAUUUGCUUGGGUGCUAUCGUGGGCGAUAUAUCCACUUUGUUCGGUUAAGAUUCAACUAUUCUUUCUCGGGACAAGCAGGAGAUGAUGGGAGUGAAGGCACUCCCGUGUUUCACAUGGUACGUUCUGAACUUAAUUUUCAUGGUUUAUGGAACUGCUGAAUAUGUUAUAUAUCAAUACUUCUGUCAUGUGUCAUCUAAAGAAUGUUGCCUCCUGUAGUUCAGUGAGGUGAAGCACAAUACCAAAGUUGGUUGCUUCUGAUAUUUAAGUGUGUCAUUAUACUCUGGUAUUAGUGGGUUAUUAGUAAUUGCCAAUCUGGAGUAUAUAUUUGUUGGACAAGGUUGUAUAAUAUAUGGGCCAGAAUAUUCACUGGUUUGCAAAGCCAACUUAUACAGAACUCAUAUUCAUAUUGCAGAAUUAUGAUGUAGUUUCUUCACAUGGAUGUAGUUCUUCUGCUAGCAUUCAGAUAUAGUAGUCAAUUCUUUUGGCGGUGUUGUAGAAUAUUGUAGCUGAACAGGUUUGCAUAUGUUCUCUGCAUAUAUUUUUUCACAUGCAUGAUCUGCAAAGUUCCAUUUUGGUAAAUACCACCAAAUUUACAGUCGAGUAGUUCAAUCAGUGCGGCUCAUGGUAGUUUUUUCGAGAUCCCUCUUGAAAACUGUUUCUCCUCUUUAUAACUUUGAUAGACUCUU